RNAcentral lists this ribosomal RNA (470 nucleotides) under uncultured organism. RNAcentral describes it as "partial 16S ribosomal RNA". It matches the Rfam family "Bacterial small subunit ribosomal RNA", at positions 331 to 797 of the family's 1533-position model. The record is from RNAcentral.
GUACACUCCUACGGGAGGCAGCAGUGAGGAAUAUUGGACAAUGGGUGGAAGCCUGAUCCAGCCAUCCCGCGUGCAGGAAGACGGCCCUAUGGGUUGUAAACUGCUUUUAUCUGGGGAUAAACCUACUUACGUGUAAGUAGCUGAAGGUACCAGAAGAAUAAGCACCGGCUAACUCCGUGCCAGCAGCCGCGGUAAUACGGAGGGUGCAAGCGUUAUCCGGAUUUAUUGGGUUUAAAGGGUCCGUAGGCGGACUGAUAAGUCAGUGGUGAAAUCCGACAGCUUAACUGUCGAACUGCCAUUGAUACUGUUAGUCUUGAGUAAGGUUGAAGUGGCUGGAAUAAGUAGUGUAGCGGUGAAAUGCAUAGAUAUUACUUAGAACACCAAUUGCGAAGGCAGGUCACUAAGUCUUAACUGACGCUGAUGGACGAAAGCGUGGGGAGCGAACAGGAUUAGAAACCCGAGUAGUCCCA